CCUACGGGGGGCUGCAGUGGGGAAUUUUGGACAAUGGGGGCAACCCUGAUCCAGCCAUGCCGCGUGCGGGAAGAAGGCCUUCGGGUUGUAAACCGCUUUUAGCCGGGAAGAAAAGGCGAGGGAUAACACCCUUCGUUCUUGACGGUACCGGCGGAAUAAGCACCGGCUAACUACGUGCCAGCAGCCGCGGUAAUACGUAGGGUGCGAGCGUUAAGCGGAAUGUCCGGGGGCGAUGCGUUAAGAGGGAGGUGAAAGCCCCGGGCUCAACCUGGGAAUGGCAUUGGAUACUGGCGGGCUUGAGUGUGGCAGAGGGGGGUGGAAUUCCGCGUGUAGCAGUGAAAUGCGUAGAGAUGCGGAGGAACACCGAUGGCGAAGGCAGCCCCCUGGGCUGACACUGACGCUCAGGCACGAAAGCGUGGGGAGCAAACAGGAUUAGAUACCCCAGUAGUC
Molecule: ribosomal RNA, 450 nt
Filed under: uncultured bacterium
Lineage: Bacteria
Description: partial 16S ribosomal RNA
Rfam family: Bacterial small subunit ribosomal RNA
Source: RNAcentral